GGGUUGUGAGGUUAAGCGACUAAGCGUACACGGUGGAUGCCCUGGCAGUCAGAGGCGAUGAAGGACGUGCUAAUCUGCGAUAAGCGUCGGUAAGGUGAUAUGAACCGUUAUAACCGGCGAUUUCCGAAUGGGGAAACCCAGUGUGAUUCGUCACACUAUCAUUAACUGAAUCCAUAGGUUAAUGAGGCGAACCGGGGGAACUGAAACAUCUAAGUACCCCGAGGAAAAGAAAUCAACCGAGAUUCCCCCAGUAGCGGCGAGCGAACGGGGAGCAGCCCAGAGCCUGAAUCAGUGUGUGUGUUAGUGGAAGCGUCUGGAAAGGCGCGCGAUACAGGGUGACAGCCCCGUACACAAAAAUGCACAUGCUGUGAGCUCGAUGAGUAGGGCGGGACACGUGGUAUCCUGUCUGAAUAUGGGGGGACCAUCCUCCAAGGCUAAAUACUCCUGACUGACCGAUAGUGAACCAGUACCGUGAGGGAAAGGCGAAAAGAACCCCGGCGAGGGGAGUGAAAAAGAACCUGAAACCGUGUACGUACAAGCAGUGGGAGCACGCUUCGGCGUGUGACUGCGUACCUUUUGUAUAAUGGGUCAGCGACUUAUAUUCUGUAGCAAGGUUAACCGAAUAGGGGAGCCGAAGGGAAACCGAGUCUUAACUGGGCGUUAAGUUGCAGGGUAUAGACCCGAAACCCGGUGAUCUAGCCAUGGGCAGGUUGAAGGUUGGGUAACACUAACUGGAGGACCGAACCGACUAAUGUUGAAAAAUUAGCGGAUGACUUGUGGCUGGGGGUGAAAGGCCAAUCAAACCGGGAGAUAGCUGGUUCUCCCCGAAAGCUAUUUAGGUAGCGCCUCGUGAAUUCAUCUCCGGGGGUAGAGCACUGUUUCGGCAAGGGGGUCAUCCCGACUUACCAACCCGAUGCAAACUGCGAAUACCGGAGAAUGUUAUCACGGGAGACACACGGCGGGUGCUAACGUCCGUCGUGAAGAGGGAAACAACCCAGACCGCCAGCUAAGGUCCCAAAGUCAUGGUUAAGUGGGAAACGAUGUGGGAAGGCCCAGACAGCCAGGAUGUUGGCUUAGAAGCAGCCAUCAUUUAAAGAAAGCGUAAUAGCUCACUGGUCGAGUCGGCCUGCGCGGAAGAUGUAACGGGGCUAAACCAUGCACCGAAGCUGCGGCAGCGACGCUGAUGCGUUGUUGGGUAGGGGAGCGUUCUGUAAGCCUGUGAAGGUGUGCUGUGAGGCAUGCUGGAGGUAUCAGAAGUGCGAAUGCUGACAUAAGUAACGAUAAAGCGGGUGAAAAGCCCGCUCGCCGGAAGACCAAGGGUUCCUGUCCAACGUUAAUCGGGGCAGGGUGAGUCGACCCCUAAGGCGAGGCCGAAAGGCGUAGUCGAUGGGAAACAGGUUAAUAUUCCUGUACUUGGUGUUACUGCGAAGGGGGGACGGAGAAGGCUAUGUUGGCCGGGCGACGGUUGUCCCGGUUUAAGCGUGUAGGCUGGUUUUCCAGGCAAAUCCGGAAAAUCAAGGCUGAGGCGUGAUGACGAGGCACUACGGUGCUGAAGCAACAAAUGCCCUGCUUCCAGGAAAAGCCUCUAAGCAUCAGGUAACAUCAAAUCGUACCCCAAACCGACACAGGUGGUCAGGUAGAGAAUACCAAGGCGCUUGAGAGAACUCGGGUGAAGGAACUAGGCAAAAUGGUGCCGUAACUUCGGGAGAAGGCACGCUGAUAUGUAGGUGAAGUCCCUCGCGGAUGGAGCUGAAAUCAGUCGAAGAUACCAGCUGGCUGCAACUGUUUAUUAAAAACACAGCACUGUGCAAACACGAAAGUGGACGUAUACGGUGUGACGCCUGCCCGGUGCCGGAAGGUUAAUUGAUGGGGUCAGCGCAAGCGAAGCUCUUGAUCGAAGCCCCGGUAAACGGCGGCCGUAACUAUAACGGUCCUAAGGUAGCGAAAUUCCUUGUCGGGUAAGUUCCGACCUGCACGAAUGGCGUAAUGAUGGCCAGGCUGUCUCCACCCGAGACUCAGUGAAAUUGAACUCGCUGUGAAGAUGCAGUGUACCCGCGGCAAGACGGAAAGACCCCGUGAACCUUUACUAUAGCUUGACACUGAACAUUGAGCCUUGAUGUGUAGGAUAGGUGGGAGGCUUUGAAGUGUGGACGCCAGUCUGCAUGGAGCCGACCUUGAAAUACCACCCUUUAAUGUUUGAUGUUCUAACGUUGACCCGUAAUCCGGGUUGCGGACAGUGUCUGGUGGGUAGUUUGACUGGGGCGGUCUCCUCCUAAAGAGUAACGGAGGAGCACGAAGGUUGGCUAAUCCUGGUCGGACAUCAGGAGGUUAGUGCAAUGGCAUAAGCCAGCUUGACUGCGAGCGUGACGGCGCGAGCAGGUGCGAAAGCAGGUCAUAGUGAUCCGGUGGUUCUGAAUGGAAGGGCCAUCGCUCAACGGAUAAAAGGUACUCCGGGGAUAACAGGCUGAUACCGCCCAAGAGUUCAUAUCGACGGCGGUGUUUGGCACCUCGAUGUCGGCUCAUCACAUCCUGGGGCUGAAGUAGGUCCCAAGGGUAUGGCUGUUCGCCAUUUAAAGUGGUACGCGAGCUGGGUUUAGAACGUCGUGAGACAGUUCGGUCCCUAUCUGCCGUGGGCGCUGGAGAACUGAGGGGGGCUGCUCCUAGUACGAGAGGACCGGAGUGGACGCAUCACUGGUGUUCGGGUUGUCAUGCCAAUGGCACUGCCCGGUAGCUAAAUGCGGAAGAGAUAAGUGCUGAAAGCAUCUAAGCACGAAACUUGCCCCGAGAUGAGUUCUCCCUGACUCCUUGAGAGUCCUGAAGGAACGUUGAAGACGACGACGUUGAUAGGCCGGGUGUGUAAGCGCAGCGAUGCGUUGAGCUAACCGGUACUAAUGAACCGUGAGGCUUAACCUUACAACGCCGAAG
This 2925-nucleotide ribosomal RNA is filed under the name Escherichia coli. Its description in RNAcentral is "bacterial LSU rRNA". It matches the Rfam family "Bacterial large subunit ribosomal RNA". The record is from RNAcentral. RNAcentral also lists the same sequence under 1 other name. Lineage: Bacteria; Pseudomonadati; Pseudomonadota; Gammaproteobacteria; Enterobacterales; Enterobacteriaceae.